This 441-nucleotide ribosomal RNA is filed under the name uncultured bacterium. Its description in RNAcentral is "partial 16S ribosomal RNA". It matches the Rfam family "Bacterial small subunit ribosomal RNA", at positions 338 to 795 of the family's 1533-position model. The record is from RNAcentral.
CCUACGGGGGGCAGCAGUCGGGAAUAUUGCGCAAUGGAGGAAACUCUGACGCAGCGACGCCGCGUAAAGGAAGAAGGUUUUCGGAUUGUAAACUAUUGUUGUUAGGGAAGAAAAAAGACUGUACCUAAGGAGGAAGCCCCGGCUAACUACGUGCCAGCAGCCGCGGUAAUACCUAGGGGGCAAGCGUUAUCCGGAUUUAUUGGGUUUAAAGGGUGCGUAGAGGGAAGAACAAGGUGGUUGUGAAAUCCCUCGGCUCAACUGAGGAACUGCAACCAAUACUAUUCUUCUUGAGUGUCGGAGAGGAAAGUGGAAUUCCUAGUGUAGCGGUGAAAUGCGUAGAUAUUAGGAGGAACACCAGUGGCGAAGGCGACUUUCUGGACGAUAACUGACGUUGAGGCACGAAAGUGUGGGGAGCAAACAGGAUUAGAUACCCGGGUAGUC